This 405-nucleotide transfer-messenger RNA is filed under the name Candidatus Peribacteria bacterium RIFCSPHIGHO2_01_FULL_54_22. It matches the Rfam family "transfer-messenger RNA". Rfam says of the family: Bacterial tmRNA, also known as 10Sa RNA or SsrA, is named for its dual tRNA and mRNA-like properties. Its role is to liberate the mRNA from a stalled ribosome. To accomplish this part of the tmRNA is used as a reading frame that ends in a translation stop signal. The record is from RNAcentral. Lineage: Bacteria; Candidatus Peregrinibacteriota; Candidatus Peribacteria. RNAcentral also lists the same sequence under 5 other names.
GGGGAUGAAAGGCUUCGACAGCGUGAUACUGGAUGCGUUAUGUCUCUGUCUGGGAUGGCAACGGUUCCCACUACCCACUGUUGCAAACGACAACUGCCAAAAACAGUGUCAUGGCAAAGGCUCUCGAGACGAUGGAUGUCUUUAACCGGACUCCUGCUCUCGUGCCGGCAUUUGCCUAAGUUCGCACUUUCUGCGGACACGUCACUCCUCUGAUUCUCGCUACGGGGAUGUGACGCCAUCAGCGAGGUGGAUUCCUGCGUGAUGUGACAGGAAUCGACAUACAGCAUCGACCCUCCCUGCCAUUCUUCGUCCGCUUCUUAUGGCAUGGUGAUUCGAAACGGACAUGACAGUACGGAUACCGCGUUCACACGUUGGACCCGGGUUCAAUUCCCGGCAUCUCCACCA